This 113-nucleotide ribosomal RNA is filed under the name uncultured Gemmatimonadota bacterium. RNAcentral describes it as "uncultured Gemmatimonadetes bacterium partial 23S ribosomal RNA". It matches the Rfam family "Bacterial large subunit ribosomal RNA", at positions 1 to 113 of the family's 2925-position model. The record is from RNAcentral. Lineage: Bacteria; Pseudomonadati; Gemmatimonadota.
GGUCAAGCGAGAGAUGGCAUGUGGGGGAUGCCUGGGCACAGAGAGGCGAUGAAGGCCGUGGUAAGCUGCGAUAAGCUCGGGGGAGUGGCACACACGCGGUGAUCCCGAGAUGG